UUAAUUGAAGAGUUUGAUCAUGGCUCAGAUUGAACGCUGGCGGCAGGCCUAACACAUGCAAGUCGAGCGGCAGCACAGAGGAACUUGUUCCUUGGGUGGCGAGCGGCGGACGGGUGAGUAAUGCCUGGGAAAUUGCCCGGUAGAGGGGGGAUAACCAUUGGAAACGAUGGCUAAUACCGCAUAACCUCGCAAGAGCAAAGCAGGGGACCUUCGGGCCUUGCGCUACCGGAUAUGCCCAGGUGGGAUUAGCUAGUUGGUGAGGUAAGGGCUCACCAAGG
RNAcentral lists this ribosomal RNA (278 nucleotides) under Vibrio cholerae. RNAcentral describes it as "partial 16S ribosomal RNA". It matches the Rfam family "Bacterial small subunit ribosomal RNA", at positions 1 to 273 of the family's 1533-position model. The record is from RNAcentral. RNAcentral also lists the same sequence under 1 other name. Lineage: Bacteria; Pseudomonadati; Pseudomonadota; Gammaproteobacteria; Vibrionales; Vibrionaceae.